RNAcentral lists this ribosomal RNA (465 nucleotides) under Vreelandella stevensii. Its description in RNAcentral is "partial 16S ribosomal RNA". It matches the Rfam family "Bacterial small subunit ribosomal RNA", at positions 338 to 795 of the family's 1533-position model. The record is from RNAcentral. Lineage: Bacteria; Pseudomonadati; Pseudomonadota; Gammaproteobacteria; Oceanospirillales; Halomonadaceae.
CCUACGGGCGGCUGCAGUGGGGAAUAUUGGACAAUGGGGGGAACCCUGAUCCAGCCAUGCCGCGUGUGUGAAGAAGGCCCUCGGGUUGUAAAGCACUUUCAGUGAGGAAGAACGCCUGGUGGUUAAUACCCAUCAGGAAAGACAUCACUCACAGAAGAAGCACCGGCUAACUCCGUGCCAGCAGUCGCGGUAAUACGGAGGGUGCGAGCGUUAAUCGGAAUUACUGGGCGUAAAGCGCGCGUAGGUGGCUUGAUAAGCCGGUUGUGAAAGCCCCGGGCUCAACCUGGGAACGGCAUCCGGAACUGUCAAGCUAGAGUGCAGGAGAGGAAGGUAGAAUUCCCGGUGUAGCGGUGAAAUGCGUAGAGAUCGGGAGGAAUACCAGUGGCGAAGGCGGCCUUCUGGACUGACACUGACACUGAGGUGCGAAAGCGUGGGUAGCAAACAGGAUUAGAUACCCGAGUAGUC